GAUGAACGCUGGCGGCGUGCCUAAUACAUGCAAGUCGAGCGAACGGACGAGAAGCUUGCUUCUCUGAUGUUAGCGGCGGACGGGUGAGUAACACGUGGAUAACCUACCUAUAAGACUGGGAUAACUUCGGGAAACCGGAGCUAAUACCGGAUAAUAUUUUGAACCGCAUGGUUCAAAAGUGAAAGACGGUCUUGCUGUCACUUAUAGAUGGAUCCGCGCUGCAUUAGCUAGUUGGUAAGGUAACGGCUUACCAAGGCAACGAUGCAUAGCCGACCUGAGAGAGUGAUCGGCCACACUGGAACUGAGACACGGUCCAGACUCCUACGGGAGGCAGCAGUAGGGAAUCUUCCGCAAUGGGCGAAAGCCUGACGGAGCAACGCCGCGUGAGUGAUGAAGGUCUUCGGAUCGUAAAACUCUGUUAUUAGGGAAGAACAUAUGUGUAAGUAACUGUGCACAUCUUGACGGUACCGAAUCAGAAAGCCACGGCUAACUACGUG
This 497-nucleotide ribosomal RNA is filed under the name uncultured bacterium. RNAcentral describes it as "partial 16S ribosomal RNA". It matches the Rfam family "Bacterial small subunit ribosomal RNA", at positions 28 to 507 of the family's 1533-position model. The record is from RNAcentral.